CCUACCCAUGAGCAGGAUGAAGCGAAAGUAAAAUUUCGUGGAGGUCCGAACCCACGAGCGUUGAAAAGCUCGGGGAUGACUUGUGGGUAGCGGUGAAAUUCCAAUCGAGCCCGGAGAUAGCUGGUUCCCCCCGAAAUAGCUUUAGGGCUAGCCUCAAGGUGAGAGAUACGGAGGUAGAGCACUGAAUGUCCUAGGGGGUAUUGCACCUACCGAAGACUAUCAAACUCCGAAUGCCGU
Molecule: ribosomal RNA, 237 nt
Filed under: Clostridioides difficile
Lineage: Bacteria; Bacillati; Bacillota; Clostridia; Peptostreptococcales; Peptostreptococcaceae
Description: partial 23S ribosomal RNA
Rfam family: Bacterial large subunit ribosomal RNA
Source: RNAcentral